RNAcentral lists this long non-coding RNA (489 nucleotides) under Oryctolagus cuniculus (rabbit). RNAcentral's name for it is "lncRNA (ENSOCUG00000034786.1)". The record is from RNAcentral. Lineage: Eukaryota; Metazoa; Chordata; Mammalia; Lagomorpha; Leporidae.
AUGUACAAUGCCAACCUCAAGGGAGCCCAGAGUAAAGAAAAUGCUGUCUUUGAAACUCUUCUACAACUUUCCCUGGAUAUAGGCUCUGAACUCCCACAGGAUUCACAUGAAAGAGGUUGCAGCAAUACUCAUUCAAGUUGGAAAAGAGAAGGCUAUGAACAGAUGGCUAUGGCAAACAGCACAUUGCAAUUGGGGAGCAGUGCACAGAUUUGUUUAUGACACUACCUUGGUCCAUACUGACAGGCUACGUAAACAUCUCUGUAAUCCAGAACAAAAACUCUUGGAGCCUCUACCAACUCCUUAUGGCUGUAAGAAAACCAAGAAAGGCAGAGAUGUGAUGUAUGAUAUGGACAAGUUGUGGCAUCAGUGCGUAAUAUCUUUCUUCUAGGAUUUUGGUGAGACAAAAAUAAUAUUUGUUUAAGCCACUGAAGUUGGGUAUGUGGCUUCCAGUUUUAAUUGACCCUUUUUAUCUAUUGCCUACAUGAUAAA